GUGCCAGCCGCCGCGGUAAUACGUAGGUGGCAAGCGUUGUCCGGAAUUAUUGGGCGUAAAGGGCGUGUAGGUGGAUUCUUAAGUCGUGUGUCUAAGUGCGUGGCUCAACCCCGUAUAGGCGCAGGAUACUGGGGAUCUUGAGUGCAGGAGAGGAAAGUGGAAUUCCCAGUGUAGCGGUGAAAUGCGUAGAUAUUGGGAGGAACACCAGUUGCGGAGGCGGCUUUCUGGACUGUGUCUGACACUGAGGCGCGAAGU
Molecule: ribosomal RNA, 255 nt
Filed under: uncultured bacterium
Lineage: Bacteria
Description: partial 16S rRNA
Rfam family: Bacterial small subunit ribosomal RNA
Source: RNAcentral